UAGGGGUUCUGAGAGGAAGGUCCCCCACAUUGGAACUGAGACACGGUCCAAACUCCUACGGGAGGCAGCAGUGAGGAAUAUUGGUCAACGGGCGCUAGCCUGAACCAGCCAAGUAGCGUGAAGGAUGGCUGCCCUAUGGGUUGUAAACUUCUUUUAUAUGGGAAUAAAGUGCAGUAUGUAUACUGCUUUGCAUGUACCUUAUGAAUAAGGAUCGGCUAACUCCGUGCCAGCAGCCGCGGUAAUACGGAGGAUCCGAGCGUUAUCCGGAUUUAUUGGGUUUAAAGGGAGCGUAGGCGGGUUGUUAAGUCAGUUGUGAAAGUUUGCGGCUCAACCGUAAAAUUGCAGUUGAUACUGGCAUCCUUGAGUACAGUAGAGGUAGGCGGAAUUCGUGGUGUAGCGGUGAAAUGCUUAGAUAUCACGAAGAACUCCGAUUGCGAAGGCAGCCUGCUGGACUGUAACUGACGCUGAUGCUCGAAAGUGUGGGUAUCAAACAGGAUUAGAUACCCUGGUAGUCCACACAGUAAACGAUGAAUACUCGCUGUUUGCGAUAUACAGUAA
This 558-nucleotide ribosomal RNA is filed under the name uncultured bacterium. Its description in RNAcentral is "bacterial SSU rRNA". It matches the Rfam family "Bacterial small subunit ribosomal RNA", at positions 284 to 842 of the family's 1533-position model. The record is from RNAcentral.